AUGAGAACAGUCAACAUUGUCUUAAUCGAACAUAUAGAUUCAGGCAAGUCCACCACAACCAGCCACCUAAUCUACAGUUGUGGUGGAAUCGACAAAUGGACCAUCAAAAAGUUUGAAAAGGAAGCCUCCAAGGCGGGAAAAGGUCCUCAAGUAUGCCUGGGUCUUGGGCAAACUGAAAGCUGAGCAUGAGUGUGGUAUCACUAUUGACAUCUCCCUGUGGAAACUUGAGACCAGCAAAUACUAUGUGACUAUCAUUGAUGCCCUAGGACACGGAGACUUCAUCAAAAAACAUGAUUACAGGCACAUCCCAGGCCGACUGUGCUGUCCUGAGUGUUGCUGCUGGUGCUGGUGAAUUUGAAGCUGGUUGUCUCCAAGAACGAGCAAAGCUGUGAGAGUGCUCUUCUGGCUUACACCCGCAGUGUGAAGCAGCUAAUUGUUAGUGCGAACAAAAUGGAUUCCACCGAGCCACCCUAAAGUCAGAAGAGCUACGAGGAAAUCAUUAAGGAAGUCAGCAAGACUAAGAAACAUGGCUAUAGUAGCAUUUGUGCUGAUUUCUUGUUGGACAACAUGCUGAAGCUAAGUGCUAAUACACCUUCGUUCAAGGGAUGGAAAGUCACCUGGAAAGAUGGCAGUGUCAGUGGCACCACAACACUGGAAGCUUUGGAUCGCAUCCCACCACCAACUCUUCCAACUGACAAGCCUCCGCAACUGCCCCUCCAGGAUGUCUAUAAAAUUGGGGGUAUUGGUUCAGUCCCUGUGGGCCAAGUGGAGACUGGUGUUCUUAAACCUGGCAUGGUGGUUACCUUUGUUCCAGUCAAGUCAAGCCUGUUGAAAUUCACUUUGAGAGCAGCUUUUUCUGGGUACGGCUUUUACUGGGCUUCAAUGUAAAGAAUGUGUCCAUCAAAGACAUUAGACGUGGCAAUGUUGCAAAAAAUGACCCACCAAUGGAAACAUCUGGCUUCACUGCUCAAGUGAUUGUCCUGAACCAUUCAGGCUAAGUUAGUGUUGCUUAUGCUCCUGUACUGGAUUGUCAAAUAUCCCACACAGCAUGCAAGUUUGCUGAGCUUAAAGGAAUGAUUGAUCCUCAUUCUGGUAAGAAGGUGGAAGAUGGCCCCAAAUUCUUGAAGUCUCGUGAUGCAGCCAUUGUUGACAUGGUCCCUGGCAAACCCAUGUGUGUUGAGAGCUUCUCUGACUAUCCUCCCCUUGGUCGUUUUGUUGUUCAUGACAUGAGGCAGACAGUUGCUGUGGGUGUCAUCAAAGUUGUGGACAAGAAGGCGGCUGGAGCUGGCAAAGUCACCAAGUCUGUCCAGAAAGCUCAGAAGGCUAAAUGAAUAUUAUCCCUAACACCUGCCACUCCAGUCCUAAUCAGUGGUGGAAGAACGGUCUCAGAGUUGCUUGUCUCAAUUGGCCAUUUAAGUUUAAUAGUAAAAGACUGGUUAAUGAUAACAAUGCAUCGUAAAACCUUCAGAAGGAAAAGAGAAUGUUUUGUGGACCCCCUUUUUUGUGUGUGGCAGUUUUAAGUUAAUAGUUUUCAAAAUCAGUACUUUUUAAUGGAAACAACCAAAAACCUGUCACAGAAUUUUGAGACCCAUUAAAACUAGUUUAAUGA
Molecule: RNA transcript, 1609 nt
Organism: Mastomys coucha (southern multimammate mouse)
Lineage: Eukaryota; Metazoa; Chordata; Mammalia; Rodentia; Muridae
Gene name: elongation factor 1-alpha 1 pseudogene
Exons: 1
Source: RefSeq, a predicted model, not a curated record